GACGAACGCUGGCGGCGGGCUUAACACAUGCAAGUCGAACGGAAAGGCCCUGCUUUGGUGGGGUGCUCGAGUGGCGAACGGGGGAGUAACACGUGAGUAACCUGCCCUUGACUUGGGGAUAACUUCGGGAAACUGGGGCUAAUACCGGAUAGGAGCUCCUGCUGCAUGGUGGGGGUUGGAAGGUUUCGGCGGUUGGGGAUGGACUCGCGGCUUAUCAGCUUGUUGGUGGGGUAGUGGCUUACCAAGGCUUUGACGGGUAGCCGGCCUGAGAGGGUGACCGGCCACAUUGGGACUGAGAUACGGCCCAGACUCCUACGGGAGGCAGCAGUGGGGAAUAUUGCACAAUGGGCGGAAGCCUGAUGCAGCAACGCCGCGUGCGGGAUGACGGCCUUCGGGUUGUAAACCGCUUUCGCCUGUGACGAAGCGUGAGUGACGGUAAUGGGUAAAGAAGCACCGGCUAACUACGUG
This 468-nucleotide ribosomal RNA is filed under the name uncultured bacterium. Its description in RNAcentral is "partial 16S ribosomal RNA". It matches the Rfam family "Bacterial small subunit ribosomal RNA", at positions 28 to 507 of the family's 1533-position model. The record is from RNAcentral.